RNAcentral lists this transfer RNA (74 nucleotides) under Loxodonta africana (African savanna elephant). It matches the Rfam family "tRNA". From Rfam's summary of the family: Transfer RNA (tRNA) molecules are approximately 80 nucleotides in length. Their secondary structure includes four short double-helical elements and three loops (D, anti-codon, and T loops). Lineage: Eukaryota; Metazoa; Chordata; Mammalia; Proboscidea; Elephantidae. The record is from Rfam by way of RNAcentral.
CCCUGGGUAGUGUAAACGGUGAACACGCUUGGCUGGUAACUAAAAAGUUGGAGGUUCAAGUCCACCCAGAGGCA